Non-coding RNA from Myodes glareolus (Bank vole), 1086 nucleotides. Lineage: Eukaryota; Metazoa; Chordata; Mammalia; Rodentia; Cricetidae. The record is from RefSeq and is a predicted model, not a curated record.
CUUACUUAUUCAUGAUAUUCAUUCCCAGGUCGGUCACCUGCCUCCCCGGGAGGAACCUGCCAAGUCCAUCACCCCACAUCGCACAGCUUCUAGCUAGGCUCAGUGCAUGAUGCUUGGGAUGCAGGCAGUUCCUCACCUACCUCGUCCCUCGCGUGUUCAUGGAUGCUGGCUUGGCUGGCACUGAGAAACUUCCCGAAGCUUCAGACAGAUAACCAAGUGCCUCAUGGGUGACCUGGUUCCAGAACUAUUGCCCUGGUGUCUCUGCCCAUCCUAAUUGCUACAGCUUUGGCGAACUUCAGCAAAUGGCAGGAAAUCCCAGCCUCAGUGAGAAGCCAGGACUAAAAAGGCAGCCUGCCUUGGAAUGGGCUGUGGGAAUACAUCAGUCAUUCAAGCAGGCAGCAAGAAACACUAAGCACGGGGCCACCAAAGGGCCUCAGCUGCUCUGUUCUGCUCUGUGGAGCAAGCUCACCUCCCUUCCUCGUCUGCCACUUGCUUCCUAGGGCUGAGGAAAAUGCUCAGAUAGUUAACUCCAGGCACCAGGAGCCGAUGGAGUAAGGACAACAUCAGUAAAGAGAAAAACGAGCAGCAACUGACAUACAUCCCAGUCCCUGAGGUGUCUUUCCCAGCAGGGAGAAGCAUCUAAAGACAAGAGCGGAAAACAGCGAGUUUGCAAAUAAACUAAACAAGGACUGAGAGCACAGCAUUUGUCUCGUGAUACUCAAUUGCCACGGAGAUUAUUAGUAUCUGUACUAAUAACAGAUACUAAUAGCCAUUGAUUCCCCACAGGGGGUCCCUACACUGCAAUCUGUAAACACAGUCGGGGGAGAAGUCUGGUAGAGUGAGAUAGGAAAAGCCUGCCUUACCGAAGUCUGCCUUUUACAAAGAGAUGGAGACGGGGACCCUCUUGUAGAAAACGGAACUGUAAAGAAGCAUUUCUUGCCGACAUGAAAGAACUGUCCAGGUUUGAAUAUCGUCAUCCUUAAAGCAUCGCACCCAUGUCUAUUACUUUUUGACUUUGUCACCUCAAGUAGCUGCCAGCUGACAUCAGUGCUGCCAGAGCAGGAUGUGUCUGGCUCGGUAUUUAGU